GAUGAACGCUGGCGGCGUGCUUAAGACAUGCAAGUCGAACGGAGUGUGUAGCAAUACUCACUAAGUGGCGAAUGGGUGAGUAACACGUAGGUGACCUGCCCUGAAGUGCGGAAUAACAGUCCGAAAGGAUUGCUAAUACCGCAUGUGGUCCCGGGCGUUAGAGAACCGGUCUAAAGCAGUAAUGCGCUUCAGGAGGGGCCUGCGGUCCAUCAGCUAGUUGGUAGGGAAUGGCCUACCAAGGCAACGACGGAUAGGGGACCUGAGAGGGUGGGCCCCC
Molecule: ribosomal RNA, 277 nt
Filed under: uncultured bacterium
Lineage: Bacteria
Description: partial 16S ribosomal RNA
Rfam family: Bacterial small subunit ribosomal RNA
Source: RNAcentral